Molecule: transfer RNA, 70 nt
Filed under: Blepharipoda liberata
Lineage: Eukaryota; Metazoa; Arthropoda; Malacostraca; Decapoda; Blepharipodidae
Description: tRNA-Pro
Source: RNAcentral
CAGAGAAUAGUUUAAUAAAAAUUUUAGUUUUGGGAAUUAAAGAUAAUAAGGUAAAUAUUAUUUUCUCUGA